GACGUAGGGCGCGAGCGUUGUCCGGAUUUAUUGGGCGUAAAGAGCUCGUAGGCGGCUUGUUGCGUCAGCUGUGAAAACCCGGAGCUCAACUCCGGGCCUGCAGUCGAUACGGGCGGACUUGAGUGUUGCAGGGGAGACUGGAAUUCCUGGUGUAGCGGUGAAAUGCGCAGAUAUCAGGAGGAACACCGGUGGCGAAGGCGGGUCUCUGGGCAACUACUGACGCUGAGGAGCGAAAGCGUGGGGAGCGAACAGG
RNAcentral lists this ribosomal RNA (253 nucleotides) under uncultured bacterium. RNAcentral describes it as "partial 16S ribosomal RNA". It matches the Rfam family "Bacterial small subunit ribosomal RNA", at positions 524 to 776 of the family's 1533-position model. The record is from RNAcentral.